GUCUGGAAAGGUCGGAUGAGU
RNAcentral lists this microRNA (21 nucleotides) under Sus scrofa (pig). Its description in RNAcentral is "ssc-miR-9830-5p". Lineage: Eukaryota; Metazoa; Chordata; Mammalia; Artiodactyla; Suidae. The record is from miRBase by way of RNAcentral.